Molecule: ribosomal RNA, 441 nt
Filed under: uncultured bacterium
Lineage: Bacteria
Description: partial 16S ribosomal RNA
Rfam family: Bacterial small subunit ribosomal RNA
Source: RNAcentral
CCUACGGGCGGCAGCAGUGGGGAAUAUUGCACAAUGGGGGAAACCCUGAUGCAGCGACGCCGCGUGAGUGAAUAAGUAUUUCGGUAUGUAAAGCUCUAUCAGCAGGGAAGAAGCAAGACGGUACCUGACCAAGAAGCCCCGGCUAACUACGGGCCAGCAGCCGCGGUAACACGUAGGGGGCAAGCGUUAUCCGGAUUUACUGGGGGUAAAGGGAGCGUAGACGGUAUGGCAAGUCUGAAGUGAAAGCCCAGGGCUUAACCCUGGGACUGCUGUGGAAACUGUUAGACUAGAGUGCAGGAGAGGUAGGUGGAAUGCCUAGUGUAGCGGUGAAAUGCGUAGAUAUUAGGAAGAACACCAGUGGCGAAGGCGGCUUACUGGACAGUAACUGACGUUGAGGCUCGAAAGCGUGGGGAGCAAACAGGAUUAGAUACCCGAGUAGUC